GAACGGUAACAGGAAGCAGCUUGCUGCUUCGCUGACGAGUGGCGGCCGGGUGAGUAAUGUCUGGGAAACUGCCUGAUGGAGGGGGAUAACUACUGGAAACGGUAGCUAAUACCGCAUAACGUCGCAAGACCAAAGAGGGGGACCUUCGGGCCUCUUGCCAUCGGAUGUGCCCAGAUGGGAUUAGCUAGUAGGUGGGGUAACGGCUCACCUAGGCGACGAUCCCUAGCUGGUCUGAGAGGAUGACCAGCCACACUGGAACUGAGACACGGUCCAGACUCCUACGGGAGGCAGCAGUGGGGAAUAUUGCACAAUGGGCGCAAGCCUGAUGCAGCCAUGCCGCGUGUAUGAAGAAGGCCUUCGGGUUGUAAAGUACUUUCAGCGGGGAGGAAGGUGAUCAGGUUAAUAACCUUGUCGAUUGACGUUACCCGCAGAAGAAGCACCGGCUAACUCCGUGCCAGCAGCCGCGGUAAUACGGAGGGUGCAAGCGUUAAUCGGAAUUACUGGGCGUAAAGCGCACGCAGGCGGUCUGUCAAGUCGGAUGUGAAAUCCCCGGGCUCAACCUGGGAACUGCAUUCGAAACUGGCAGGCUAGAGUCUUGUAGAGGGGGGUAGAAUUCCAGG
This 620-nucleotide ribosomal RNA is filed under the name Enterobacter hormaechei. Its description in RNAcentral is "bacterial SSU rRNA". It matches the Rfam family "Bacterial small subunit ribosomal RNA", at positions 64 to 673 of the family's 1533-position model. Lineage: Bacteria; Pseudomonadati; Pseudomonadota; Gammaproteobacteria; Enterobacterales; Enterobacteriaceae. The record is from RNAcentral.